UGAAGCUUCAUUUAUUCCAACACUAGCCAUAAAACAAAAUUGCUAGUCAAUUCUAUCCUAAUUUAAAACAAAUAUCUUCUAAAAGUUCAAUAUAUUAACAGUUUUUUUAUUAUAAAAAAAAAAUCAAAAUAUGCAAUUAUCCAGGGUGACAUUUUAAACUGCCAAAUUAGCAGGAAAUAAUAUCCUAUUGUUAAACUGUACUAAUAUAUUUUGAGCAGUUCCAAGAAUCAAUAAUGCAACUUCCAAGAAUCAAAAUUUCAUCUUUUCUUUGAGAUUCUUUUCAAGGAAUAAUAGGGUUAAAAUUGUAUUACAGUGUAAUGAAACAUUAAAGAGAAGGCAAAUCACUGAUAAAGUUAACAUAUU
This 363-nucleotide unclassified non-coding RNA is filed under the name Hevea brasiliensis (rubber tree). The record is from RNAcentral. Lineage: Eukaryota; Viridiplantae; Streptophyta; Magnoliopsida; Malpighiales; Euphorbiaceae.